Molecule: ribosomal RNA, 508 nt
Filed under: uncultured bacterium
Lineage: Bacteria
Description: bacterial SSU rRNA
Rfam family: Bacterial small subunit ribosomal RNA
Source: RNAcentral
AAUCAACGCUGGCGGCGUGCCUCAGACAUGCAAGUCGAACGCGAAAGUCCCCUUCGGGGGACAAGUAGAGUGGCGCACGGGUGAGUAACACGUAGGUAAUCUACCUUCGGGUGGGGAAUAACGCAGGGAAACUUGCGCUAAUACCGCAUAAUGCAGCGGCACCACAUGGUGACAGUUGUUAAAGCGGGGGAUUUUCGGACCUCGCGCCUGAAGAGGAGCCUGCGGCAGAUUAGCUAGUUGGUAAGGUAACGGCUUACCAAGGCGACGAUCUGUAGCCGGCCUGAGAGGGCGGUCGGCCACACUGACACUGACAUACGGGUCAGACUCCUACGGGAGGCAGCAGUCGGGAAUUUUGGGCAAUGGGCGAAAGCCUGACCCAGCAACGCCGCGUGAAGGAUGAAAUCCCUCGGGAUGUAAACUUCGCAAGAAUAGGAAGAAUGAACGAGCGCUAACACCGUUCGUGAUGACGGUACUAUUUGUAAGCUCCGGCUAACUCCGUGCCAGCACG